UACGUAGGCAGCAAGCGUUGUUCGGAGUUACUGGGCGUAAAGAGUGCGUAGGCGGUGGCCUAAGUUCGGUGUGAAAUCUCCCGGCUUAACUGGGAGGGUGCGCCGGAAACUGGGCUGCUGGAGUGUGGGAAAGGCAAGCGGAAUUCCUGGUGUAGCGGUGAAAUGCGUAGAUAUCUGGAGGAACACCGGUGGCGAAGGCGGCAUCCUGGACCAAUACUGACACUGAGGAGCGAAAGCCAGGGGAGCAAACGGG
This 253-nucleotide ribosomal RNA is filed under the name uncultured bacterium. RNAcentral describes it as "partial 16S ribosomal RNA". It matches the Rfam family "Bacterial small subunit ribosomal RNA", at positions 524 to 776 of the family's 1533-position model. The record is from RNAcentral.